GCGAAAAUAUUCGCGUUCUCCAGAGCGUAAAGUCUGAGACGUAAUAUUAGUAGUCGAUAGUCGGCGCAUUUCUCGAGGGUAAGCGUCGUAACCGAUACCGAAAGGCUAGCGAAGCGACGAGGUUGAGGUCUAGUCUCUUUACGGACACUAGUUACCAGCCGAAUUCGCNUUAGUCGCUAGACCGCAGUAUGUAUCGAGCGCCUAUAAAAUAGAGGACGUUCGCCGUAAAGGUUCGUUCGUACGAUGGAAAGUCGAUUAACUAGUCGGUUUACCUGCUCGCAGGCGCCGUUCUAAUCUAGUCGGUCUUAGAAAUCGUCGACGACGCGACGUCCAGGCGUUAACGGCGUCAGAGUCGGUCACCCGUCCGACCCGUCUUGAAACACGGACCAAGGAGUCUAACAUACGCGCGAGGCAAUAGGCGGAAAACCUAGAGCCGUAAUAAAAGUGAAGACUUAGUUACUAAGUACGAGGUACGAUCCUAGAAUCUAACGAUAUCUAGGCGCAGUACCGUCUCGUCCCUAAGACACGUUCUAAGGGCGAAGAUAGAGUGCGUACGUUGGGACCCGAAAGAUGGUGAACUAUGCCUGAGCAGAGCGAAGCCAGAGGAAACUCUGGUGGAGGUUCGUAGCGGUUCNGACGUGCAAAUC
This 647-nucleotide ribosomal RNA is filed under the name Epidorylaimus procerus. Its description in RNAcentral is "Epidorylaimus sp. 1 HH-2020 partial large subunit ribosomal RNA". It matches the Rfam family "Eukaryotic large subunit ribosomal RNA", at positions 444 to 899 of the family's 3401-position model. Lineage: Eukaryota; Metazoa; Nematoda; Enoplea; Dorylaimida; Qudsianematidae. The record is from RNAcentral.